UCCUGUUGAUCCUGCCGGACCUGACUGCUAUCGGAUUGGUACUAAGCCAUGCGAGUCGUUGUAGCAAUACAAGGCGGACUGCUCAGUAACACGUAGUUAACUUAACCUAUGGAUGGGCAUAACCUCGGGAAACUGAGAAUAAUACCCAAUGGACCACAGUGCCUGGAAUGGCCUGUGGUUGAAAUGAUUUAUCGCCGUAGGAUAGGACUGCGGCCUAUCAGCUUGUUGGUGAGGUAAUGGCCCACCAAGGCUAUAACAGGUACGGGCUCUGAGAGGAGGGGCCCGGAGAUGGGUACUGAGACACGGACCCAGGCCCUAUGGGGCGCAGCAGGCGAGAAACCUUUGCAAUGUGCGAAAGCACGACAAGGUUAAUCCGAGUGUCUCCUGCUAAAGGAGUCUUUUGUCAGUUGUAGAAUCACUGGUNGAAUUAAANGGGNGGUGGGCAAGUUCUGGUGUCAGCCGCCGCGGUAAAACCAGCACCUCGAGUGGUCAAAAGGGCGGCAAAGGGUUUAAUUGGGGCCCUAAAAGCCAUCCCCGUAGCCCGGUUGCAUAANGUUUUCCGGUUAAAAUCUAUGCGCUUAACGUAUAGGCCGCCGAAAAUACUGUGCAGCUAGGGAGUGGGAGAGGUA
This 629-nucleotide ribosomal RNA is filed under the name uncultured archaeon. RNAcentral describes it as "bacterial SSU rRNA". It matches the Rfam family "Archaeal small subunit ribosomal RNA", at positions 1 to 610 of the family's 1478-position model. The record is from RNAcentral.